RNAcentral lists this ribosomal RNA (392 nucleotides) under uncultured bacterium. RNAcentral's name for it is "bacterial SSU rRNA". It matches the Rfam family "Bacterial small subunit ribosomal RNA", at positions 362 to 771 of the family's 1533-position model. The record is from RNAcentral.
UAUUGCACAAUGGGCGAAAGCCUGAUGCAGCGACGCCGCGUGAGUGAAGAGGUAUCUCGGUANGUAAAGCUCUAUCAGCAGGGAANNCCNNNANGGUACCUGAUUAAGAAGCCCCGGCUAACUACGUGCCAGCAGCCGCGGUAAUACGUAGGGGGCAAGCGUUAUCCGGAUUUACUGGGUGUAAAGGGAGCGUAGACGGUGAUGCAAGUCAGAAGUGAAAGCCCGGAGCUCAACUCCGGGACUGCUUUUGAAACUGUGUGACUGGAGUGCAGGAGAGGUAAGCGGAAUUCCUGGUGUAGCGGUGAAAUGCGUAGAUAUCAGGAGGAACACCAGUGGCGAAGGCGGCUUGCUGGACUGUAACUGACGUUGAGGCUCGAAAGCGUGGGGAGCAA